Molecule: long non-coding RNA, 2505 nt
Filed under: Setaria italica (foxtail millet)
Lineage: Eukaryota; Viridiplantae; Streptophyta; Magnoliopsida; Poales; Poaceae
Description: long non-coding RNA (SITA_LNC007443)
Source: RNAcentral
UUGACGGUGCUAUCAUAUUCUUGAAAACCUUCCAUGCUGUGUCCAUCUGAGCAUUCUUCUAUCUCUGCAUUUAUCCCUUAACAGUCACUUGCUUUGAGGUUCCAUUUUCCAUGUGGAUACCCAUGGCUGAAUCCAGUUUGAGAUUAUUACAUACCUUCUGUUCUAGCUGUUUCUGUUAUUUUUUUCUUUCUAUCCAUACAUUAUCACUUUGCUCCCCAAUAUUAUUGGUUCCUGUGCUCUUUACAAAGUUUCCUUGGAACUUUGAGCUUUGGAAGAUGCCAAGGAGAACAGGAAAUGCUGCUUCGACCAAAUCAAUUGAAUUGGUCAAAGGAGUUUGAUGAUCUGACGAGGUAGAUGGAAGAGGAAGAAGUUUGAACUACCUGAACUCGCCGGCGGUCGACCCUAUCCCGCCGGCCGCCGCCGACCCGCCGGCAGCCGCCGACAUCCUGCAGGCUGUCAACGGCGUCGGCAACAACCCGCAGGCUGUCAACGUCGUCGGCAACAACCCGCAGGCUGUCGACGUCGUCGGCAACAACCAGCAGGCUGUCAACGCCAAUGACCAGCCAUACGACGGCCAUGAAAUACAUGGUUUAACUAGACAAGGUGAAUUUCCUAUCCUGAAGUUAGAUUAUAAUUAGUCUUUGUUCCUGAAGCUGUGAUUCUGAUGCAAUAUAUUCUCUCUCCAUAUGUAGCUUUCAACAAGUUUACUGUCAGAUUUAAAGCUGUUAAGGAUUUAACACUGAAAGAACAUAUGUGUAUUCUGAGGAAUAGGCUUCACUUUGAUGUUAUGGAUGCCCCGAUGCUUGAUCUUAAAGGUAGAUACCUGAACUGUUAAACAUUUGCUUUGAAGGUCCAUUUAACUUGCGCAUUAAUUAUGUUUUGUAGAAGGAGUGAUUCUCUACCAUGUACCACCGGGGCUGAAUCUGAACCAUGAUGGGGACAGGGUGGUGAGUGAUGGUGGAGCAGAUGGAUACCAAUGGAAUCGAAAACGCAGUUACAGCAGGCUGGUAAUUUUGUAAUUGCAUGUGAUCGAUUUGACUUUUCAGUUUCCUUCUUCCUCACAUUUGCUUAUAUUUGGUACUACUGUUUUCAGUUUGGGCUGGAGAGGAUUCGUUAUACCAGUUAUCAAUGCCAGGCAGAUAUAGGGUGGACCAAAAAAGUCUACCAAACUAGGUAAUAUAUCUUCGAGCUACUACACUUUGUAUUUUAUAAGAAACAUAAAUUUAUUUCAUCUUAUAUAUGCAGCUCGGUUGCCAACUGGGUAGUAAUCCACUACCAGUUCUCUGGAGAUGUGCCAGCAGUCAAUGCCAUGGUUAGCUGUGUUACCAGAGUUGAGGAGUCAUUUAAUCAGUUUAGAGCACAAGAUAAUAACAUCUGUCGUCAAAUGGUGGAGGCGCUUCAGCCUACCUGAGAGAGCAGCAACCGCAGUUGCUGGUCGACUUCAGUAGCUGUCUUCCUUUUUUUGGUUGUGGAGUUAUCUGGUGAUGUAAACAUGGUUUCAGAUUCAGAUGGAUUUAGUUCCUAAUCGUGGUCAGUAGGUCCUGUAUGUUUCAAUGUUAACCUGGGUAUGGAUCUAGUAUAUGAAUGAUAUACAAGCAGUGAACUUGUUCUGUCUGGUGGUAAACCUGGGUAUGAAUCUGGUAUCUUUUGAAUGAUACAAGCAGUGAACUGUUAUGUCUGUUAUGUCUGGUGGUAAACUCAGUGUGAAGCUGUCGUGGCCCCAGCCAUACUAAGCUGCGGCAGUUGGAAGCUGUUCCAGGUUGCAAUUGUUCUCCACACCUCUGCUGCUUAACUGCAUUUGGCUAAUAUAUUUAAUUACUUAUUGGCAAAAUAUGAGUUAUUUCAGAAUUCAUGGAAUAAAAUUUUAAGACAAUAAGUACCUGGUAACAAGUCAAUGUUUUUUCAUGUUAGGGCCAAACUUGCAGCGGUAUGAAGUUUUUUUUUUCUGUUGUAUUAUGUCUCCAUGGAGUGACCAUUUUUUUUUCAUGUUUAGUCAUUACUAUUCUCAGCUACUUAGCUUGGGUUCAGGUUUUAUUUUAAGAUUUAUACAUUAUGUAUAUUGUUCUCUAAUUUUUAUUUUUUUUCCUGUUCCUUUUCCUUCCCUUCCAUUCAAUUAAUGGAAUGUUGAUACCUUGCAAUUGCACCAGCCCACUCAAUUGUACUUCAGAUAACAUCUUCUUUGAUUGUCCUCUUUUUCAUACUCUUGUUGACGGUGCUAUCAUAUUCUUGAAAACCUUCCAUGCUGUGUCCAUCUGAGCAUUCUUCUAUCUCUGCAUUUAUCCCUUAACAGUCACUUGCUUUGAGGUUCCAUUUUCCAUGUGGAUACCCAUGGCUGAAUCCAGUUUGAGAUUAUUACAUACCUUCUGUUCUAGCUGUUUCUGUUAUUUUUUUCUUUCUAUCCAUACAUUAUCACUUUGCUCCCCAAUAUUAUUGGUUCCUGUGCUCUUUACAAAGUUUCCUUGGAACUUUGAGCUUUGGAAGAUGCCAAGGAGAACAGGAAAUGCU